UGGGGAAUUUUGGACAAUGGGCGAAAGCCUGAUCCAGCAAUGCCGCGUGUGUGAAGAAGGCCUUCGGGUUGUAAAGCACUUUUGUCCGGAAAGAAAUCCUUGGCUCUAAUACAGUCGGGGGAUGACGGUACCGGAAGAAUAAGCACCGGCUAACUACGUGCCAGCAGCCGCGGUAAUACGUAGGGUGCAAGCGUUAAUCGGAAUUACUGGGCGUAAAGCGUGCGCAGGCGGUUUGCUAAGACCGAUGUGAAAUCCCCGGGCUCAACCUGGGAACUGCAUUGGUAACUGGCAGGCUAGAGUAUGGCAGAGGGGGGUAGAAUUCCACGUGUAGCAGUGAAAUGCGUAGAGAUGUGGAGGAAUACCGAUGGCGAAGGCAGCCCCCUGGGCCAAUACUGACGCUCAUGCACGAAAGCGUGGGGAGCAAACAGGAUUAGAUACCCUGGUAGUCCACGCCCUAAACGAUGUCAACUAGUUGUUGGGGAUUCAUUUCCUAGUAACGUAGCUAACGCGUGAAGUUGACCGCCUGGGGAGUACGGUCGCAAGAUUAAAACUCAAAGGAAUUGACGGGGUCAUAGCUGUUUCCU
Molecule: ribosomal RNA, 584 nt
Filed under: uncultured bacterium
Lineage: Bacteria
Description: partial 16S ribosomal RNA
Rfam family: Bacterial small subunit ribosomal RNA
Source: RNAcentral